GGCGGGCCGCCUCCCGGCGCCCCCGGACGAGCGGUGCCGUACCCGGACAGCGACAAGACGGCGCCUG
Molecule: non-coding RNA, 67 nt
Filed under: Geodermatophilus pulveris
Lineage: Bacteria; Bacillati; Actinomycetota; Actinomycetes; Geodermatophilales; Geodermatophilaceae
Source: RNAcentral